Small nucleolar RNA from Acomys russatus (golden spiny mouse), 143 nucleotides. RefSeq annotates it as small nucleolar RNA SNORA48. The transcript has a single exon. The record is from RefSeq and is a predicted model, not a curated record. NCBI's taxonomy places the organism in Eukaryota, Metazoa, Chordata, Mammalia, Rodentia, Muridae.
AGCAAUGGGCAAUGGGCAAAGUGACACCUUGUUGGUGGUGGUGUUCUUGUAUCAGUCAGGGGCGAAGGAGAUGGCAGCCUUUGCUCUUCUUAGCUUGAUGCCUGGCUUGGUGGCCAAAGCUGUUUUAUACCUGGGACUCUUAA